RNAcentral lists this ribosomal RNA (459 nucleotides) under uncultured bacterium. RNAcentral's name for it is "partial 16S ribosomal RNA". It matches the Rfam family "Bacterial small subunit ribosomal RNA", at positions 338 to 795 of the family's 1533-position model. The record is from RNAcentral.
CCUACGGGUGGCUGCAGUGAGGAAUAUUGGUCAAUGGGCGGGAGCCUGAACCAGCCAAGCCGCGUGAGGGAAGAAGGUACAGCGUAUCGUAAACCUCUUUUGUCAGGGAACAAAGGCGGGGACUAGUCCCCGGAUGAGGGUACCUGAAGAAAAAGCAUCGGCGAACUCCGUGCCAGCAGCCGCGGUAAUACGGAGGAUGCGAGCGUUAUCCGGAUUUAUUGGGUUUAAAGGGUGCGCAGGCGGAAGGUUAAGUCAGCGGUAAAAUGGCGGUGCUCAAAACCGGCCUGCCGUUGAAACUGGUCUUCUUGAGUGAGCGAGAAGUAUGCGGAAUGCGUGGUGUAGCGGUGAAAUGCAUAGAUAUCACGCAGAACUCCGAUUGCGAAGGCAGCAUACCGGCGCUCAACUGACGCUGAGGCACGAAAGCGUGGGGAUCGAACAGGAUUAGAUACCCGUGUAGUC